Molecule: long non-coding RNA, 201 nt
Organism: Diprion similis
Lineage: Eukaryota; Metazoa; Arthropoda; Insecta; Hymenoptera; Diprionidae
Exons: 2
Source: RefSeq, a predicted model, not a curated record
ACCUUUCCCGAAGCAGCACCAACGGUUCUCACAUUCUUGUCUAGGAUGUGACAUCGCACAGUCGUCGUCCCGACGUCGAGCGCCGCGACGUAUUUGACCGUCGUCGAGCUUGCCAUUUGGCUCGAGGAAUCUAACAAUUUCGCUCGCCAGGUCUUCGGUUCGUGACCCAAAAUUUUUCUCCCAUGUGCCGUGUGAUCGAAG